RNAcentral lists this small RNA (656 nucleotides) under Pongo abelii (Sumatran orangutan). RNAcentral describes it as "processed transcript". Lineage: Eukaryota; Metazoa; Chordata; Mammalia; Primates; Hominidae. The record is from RNAcentral.
GAAGUUCAUACAUGCUAUUAUCUGCAAAAUAUUUUUAAUUAGUACAGUAUUUACCUUUAAGGGACUGAACAAGGACGGCAAUCACUAACCUAAAGGUGAUAAAACAUACUUGGAAAUAAAGUUAUUUGACUUAUAUACCUUCACUUUCAAAAGUCCAGAGCAAGAGCAUCCAAAAAUGUGAUUUCAUAAACUAAUUUCUGUUGAUGGAUCUUGUAGCUUUUGUGGGUACACAAAGUAGGAUGAGUCUUCUUGGUUACAUUGGAGGAAAAAGGUAUUUACUACCAGGGAGUACCCAAUUCUUCUUGAGAACACCAACCUACAGCUUGAAGUACAAUUCACCUGGAAUGACUCGCUCCAAUGUUUUGUUUACAUCCAGAUAUGGCCAUUUGUGAAACAGAAGGGAAGAUCACCAUUGGUUAUACAUAACAGCAAUUCAUUUUUUUCCCCUAAAGUUGAACAUGCAAAGAACAUGACCAUUAAGUGCUGUUUUAUGUAUAUAAGACAUAUAUAUGUGUGAAAAUAUAUGCACAUAUGCACCCAAAUAACAUAUAUUUAUUAUAUUAAAUAAUAUAUGAAAGAAGAAUUAGCAGAAAAUGGAAUAUAAGACUUAACCUUUCUGGAAAUGUAAUAAACCAUGUUAAAAUUGUUUACACAAA